This 1450-nucleotide long non-coding RNA is filed under the name Pan troglodytes (chimpanzee). Its description in RNAcentral is "long non-coding RNA NONPTRT008748". Lineage: Eukaryota; Metazoa; Chordata; Mammalia; Primates; Hominidae. The record is from RNAcentral.
GUUUUAUGUGAAGCUGCCUUCCCUAAGAAGUUGGCUUUUGCCUACCUAGAAGAUUUGCACUCAGAAUUUAUGAACAGCAUGGAAAGAAGGUGCCCACUGUGUCCCGACUCUAUUCCUUUAUUGAAUUUGAUACUUUCAUUCAGAAAACCAAGAAGCUCUACAUUGACAGUCAUGCUCGAAGAAACCUAGGCUCCAUCAACACUGAAUUGCAAGAUGUGCAGAGGAUCAUGGUGGCCAAUAUCGAAGAAGUGUUACAACGAGGAGAAGCACUCUCAGACAGCAUUGGAUUCAAAGGCUAACAAUUUGUCCAGUCUGUCCAAGAAAUACUGCCAGGAUGCGAAGUACUUGAACAUGCGUUCCACUUAUGCCAAACCUGCAGCAGUAGCUGUAUUUUUCAUCAUGUUAAUAGUGUAUGUCCGAUUCUGGUGGCUGUGAAAUAAUGAAUACAGUCACUGGUAAGGGAGAACCUAGAACCCAGUAGGUGUAUAUUUUCAGGAAACUGAGCUCACAGAGAUGUGUAUUAGAAUCCAAGUGGAACUUCUGCCUCUAAAGACCUUGCAAGAAAAGAGAUGUCCUGAAAAUGAAAGGUUGCACCUCAUUUAAUGAAGUUUAACCCUAUGUAGAAAGUCUCUUUCGGGGGCAGAGGCUUUCUCUGGGUGCCAAGCCAUAUAUAUUAGGGAAUAGUAGAUUGUUAUUUUGUUUUUUCCCUCCCAGUGCAUUUUAAAAACAGCACUGGCUGGGGCAUUCUCAUUCUCUGAUGGAGCCAUCAAUGAGAUUUAACUUAGUCAACCUGUGCUAGCAACAUUCUGAAAUUCCUUCAAAGAAGGCAGUCCUUUGGGAAGGUGUUUUUUUUGUUUUGUUUUGUUUUUUGUUUUUGACUCUAAUCAACAUUCCUUUUGUUGGUGACAUUUGUGAUUUUCAGUGAUCUGAGUUUUUGAUGGCCUUUUAAACAAGACUCCAGUAUGUGAAGGUUAAUUGCUGUGCUCCACAGAUCUUGUCUAUUGGCCCCUGUAGAAAGUUAACCUUUGUUGUUUUCCUUUUAUAAUUUGCUUAUUGCACAAUUGCUUUAGGGUAAGUGAAUUAUAUUAAGAUGCCUUGAAAUUAUAGCACUCCUUGAUUAAGAAGCUAAAAUGUUUCUCUCAUUUACUCCUUAAACAAAAGACUUAAAUUAGUUUGGGUCAUUAUUACUUUUAUUUUGCAGCAUUUGGUUUGUUAUUAGUGUAAGAGCAAGUAUAGGAUAUGGAGAGGCCCCUGGCUUCAUGAGAACAAAGGAAGGCCCAGGUUAUAAUUACAGCUUUCUCCUGCCCCUUCUUUACUUUCUCUACCACAGUUUUCUCCACUGUUUGUUUUCCUCUUGCCACAAUUUGCUAACAUUUAAAAAAUUUUCCUGCACCCAGUAGUUUCAUAUCCUGUAGACAUCCUCUUAGGACAUUCUCAAAUUUCAAAAUAA